RNAcentral lists this unclassified non-coding RNA (1163 nucleotides) under Hevea brasiliensis (rubber tree). The record is from RNAcentral. Lineage: Eukaryota; Viridiplantae; Streptophyta; Magnoliopsida; Malpighiales; Euphorbiaceae.
GAAAGAUUACUAUGCCAAGGUAAGAUAAUCAUAAUGGUCUAGCUAGUUUUGCUGCUAUAUAAUAAUAGAGGUUCUAUCGGCUAUUCCAAUUUUUUUUGGUAUGUAUUCCUCUGGGUGCCAACUGGCGUAACCAGUGAGAUAACUUGUCAUGGUUCAAGGAGUCCAAAGGUCAAAUUAUACUUGUGCCUGAGAUUUAAUCAUAAUGAUUUUCAGCAUAUGUUUUGUAGCCCCAUAUUUCAGUAUCUUUUGACUUUGUUUGUCAGCACAACCAAUUAGAUAAACUUGAUAUCUUCAGCACUAUAUUUGCAUUGCUUUUUUUUAAUAAUGUAACUCCAAUAUUGGUUAUUGGUUCUGGGCUUUUAUCAUAUACCAAUUGCUUUUUUCUUCCAUAUUUGGCACUUAGUCAUGUAUGUUCCUGUGUGCAUUUCUGUUUAUUGACUUUUUUAAUUCUAUAUUUGGUUUUCUUUUCUGGUAUUCUUUUUGAGGUGUUGCAUCCUUAUGAACACCUUUGUCAGAACUACAUCAUACUGUAUUGUGCAUUUCUUGCUUUUCAGUCUCUUUUGGUUGUCAGAGUCAAUUUAUACAUUUUCUUUAAGUGUGCUUGGGCAUUGCGUUCAAACACUUUCAAGUGCUAGUAACUAUUUGCAAGGUUGUACUAAGGUAUUGCUUCUUGUGACAUGCUUCAGUUAAAGGCCAGUAUGUUUUGAAGUGACUCAGGAUUGGGAUUAGGUUUAUGUGCCACUAUCUGCCGCCUAUUAUUUGAUCUUGAUUGCAUUGUUGUCCCUUAAUUCAUGUUUCACUAUUAUGAAUGGCCAAAUUUUGGCUGUUUCAUUGGAUUGAACUUCUUACACUAUGCUUAUACUUUAUAAGUUUUGCAAGUGUUUCCCUUCCUUUUCAAUUUUUGCUUUCGUGAUGACUUUCAUAUCCUGGCUGUUCCAAUUUUCCAUUGGGGGACAGAGUGUCACUCUGUGCAUACGCUUGUAAGAGCAAUUCUCUGCCCAAUACAAGCUGUCACUUAAAGCAGAAUGCUUUAUGCUUUUUUUAGGAAAAAAUAAAUUCUUCCUUGCUACACUCGGCAAUCGCCAUAUGUUGAUUCUGUGAUUCUUCUAUAUCUCUCUUGAGUUUGGAAAACUGAAAUAUAUGUGACUCGCUUAUUGUUAUAG